This 65-nucleotide transfer RNA is filed under the name Panopea abrupta. RNAcentral describes it as "tRNA-Ser". The record is from RNAcentral. RNAcentral also lists the same sequence under 1 other name. Lineage: Eukaryota; Metazoa; Mollusca; Bivalvia; Adapedonta; Hiatellidae.
AGAAAAGUAGGUCACAGAAGAGCUUCUAACUUUGUCUGGGGGCAGUUCGAUUCUGUCUUUUUCUU